GANNGGAAGAGUGCCUUCGGGAAUGUGAACACAGGNNNNNNNNGGNCGUCGUCAGCUCGUGUCGUGAGAUGUUGGGUUAAGUCCCGCAACGAGCGUAACCCUUGUCUUUAGUUGCCAUCAUUUAGUUGGGCACUUUAAAGAGACUGCCGGUGAUAAACCGGAGGAAGGUGAGGACGACGUCAAGUCAGCAUGCCCCUUACGCCCUGGGCUACACACGUACUACAAUGGCCGAGACAAAGAGUCGCAAGUUUGCAAAGACAAGCUAAUCUCAUAAACUCGGUCUCAGUUCGGAUUGUAGGCUGCAACUCGCCUACAUGAAGUUGGAAUCGCUAGUAAUCGCCGGUCAGCUAUACGGCGGUGAAUCCGUUCCCGGGCCUUGUACACACCGCCCGUCACACCAUGGAAGCUGUUCAUGCCCAAAGUCGUUACCUUAACCGCAAGGA
This 443-nucleotide ribosomal RNA is filed under the name uncultured Teleaulax. RNAcentral describes it as "partial 16S ribosomal RNA". It matches the Rfam family "Bacterial small subunit ribosomal RNA", at positions 1004 to 1447 of the family's 1533-position model. The record is from RNAcentral. Lineage: Eukaryota; Cryptophyceae; Pyrenomonadales; Geminigeraceae.